RNAcentral lists this non-coding RNA (31 nucleotides) under Rattus norvegicus (Norway rat). The record is from RNAcentral. Lineage: Eukaryota; Metazoa; Chordata; Mammalia; Rodentia; Muridae.
UGUCAUGAGGGAAGCACUCUUCUUUGCCAAG